This 496-nucleotide ribosomal RNA is filed under the name uncultured bacterium. RNAcentral describes it as "bacterial SSU rRNA". It matches the Rfam family "Bacterial small subunit ribosomal RNA", at positions 31 to 507 of the family's 1533-position model. The record is from RNAcentral.
GAACGCUGGCGGCGUGCUUAAUACAUGCAAGUCGAACGCUGAAGCACUCUGCUUGCAGAGUGCGGAUGAGUGGCGAACGGGUGAGUAACACGUGGGAAAUCUGCCUAGGAGUGGGGGAUAACAUUCGGAAACGGAUGCUAAUACCGCAUAUCUUUUUGAACCGCAUGGUUCUUAAACGAAAGACGGCUUCGGCUGUCGCUCUUAGAUGAUCCCGCGGCGUAUUAGGUAGUUGGUGAGGUAACGGCCCACCAAGCCGACGAUCAGUAGCCGGUCUGAGAGGAUGAACGGCCACAUUGGAACUGAGACACGGUCCAGACUCCUACGGGAGGCAGCAGUGGGGAAUCUUCCGCAAUGGGCGAAAGCCUGACGGAGCAACGCCGCGUGAGUGAAGAAGGCCUUCGGGUCGUAAAGCUCUGUUGUCGGGGACGAAUGUAGUAACUAUCAACAACGGUAACUAAUGACGGUACCUGACGAGGAAGCCACGGCUAACUACGUG